RNAcentral lists this non-coding RNA (31 nucleotides) under Mus musculus (house mouse). Lineage: Eukaryota; Metazoa; Chordata; Mammalia; Rodentia; Muridae. The record is from RNAcentral.
UCAAAUUGCAUAAAUGCUCCUCUAGCCUCGU